Molecule: long non-coding RNA, 156 nt
Organism: Diprion similis
Lineage: Eukaryota; Metazoa; Arthropoda; Insecta; Hymenoptera; Diprionidae
Exons: 3
Source: RefSeq, a predicted model, not a curated record
UAUCUCUCUCUCUCUCUCUCACGAUCUUCCGCUCUGGGUUUUAUUGUUUGAUAUUUUAAUAAAUACAUAGGGGUUCGUGUGGUAUUACUUUAGGUAAUAGAACUGUUGGUUAUCACGAUCGGAAUCCCCUGGAUCCCGCAUUGCGUAACGAUAUUU